This 804-nucleotide ribosomal RNA is filed under the name Marasmius congregatus. Its description in RNAcentral is "partial large subunit ribosomal RNA". It matches the Rfam family "Eukaryotic large subunit ribosomal RNA", at positions 74 to 868 of the family's 3401-position model. Lineage: Eukaryota; Fungi; Basidiomycota; Agaricomycetes; Agaricales; Marasmiaceae. The record is from RNAcentral.
AUUCCCUAGUACCUGCGAGUGAAGAGGGAAAAGCUCAAAUUUAAAAUCUGGCCGCUUCGCUGUCCGAGUUGUAAUUUAGAGAAGUGUUACCCGCGCUGGACCGUGUAUAAGUCUCCUGGAAUGGAGCGUCAUAGAGGGUGAGAAUCCCGUCUUUGACACGGACUACCAGGGCAUUGUGGUGCGCUCUCGAAGAGUCGAGUUGUUUGGGAAUGCAGCUCUAAAUGGGUGGUAAAUUCCAUCUAAAGCUAAAUAUUGGCGAGAGACCGAUAGCGAACAAGUACCGUGAGGGAAAGAUGAAAAGAACUUUGGAAAGAGAGUUAAACAGUACGUGAAAUUGCUGAAAGGGAAACGCUUGAAGUCAGUCGCGUUGGCCGGGGAUCAGCCUUGCUUUUGUGAGGUGUACUUCCCGGUUGACGGGUCAGCAUCAGUUUCGACCACUGGAGAAAGGCUUGGGGAAUGUGGCACCUUCGGGUGUGUUAUAGCCCCUUGUUGUAUACAGUGGUUGGGACUGAGGAACUCAGCACGCCGCAAGGCCGGGUUUCGACCACGUUCGUGCUUAGGAUGCUGGCAAAAUGGCUUUAAGCGACCCGUCUUGAAACACGGACCAAGGAGUCUAACAUGCCUGCGAGUGUUUGGGUGGAAAACCCGAGCGCGUAAUGAAAGUGAAAGUUGGGAUCUCUGUCGUGGAGAGCACCGACGCCCGGACCUGAUGUUUACUGACGGAUCUGCGGUAGAGCAUGUAUGUUGGGACCCGAAAGAUGGUGAACUAUGCCUGAAUAGGGUGAAGCCAGAGGAAACUCUGGU